This 300-nucleotide ribosomal RNA is filed under the name Triticum aestivum (bread wheat). RNAcentral's name for it is "partial small subunit ribosomal RNA". Lineage: Eukaryota; Viridiplantae; Streptophyta; Magnoliopsida; Poales; Poaceae. The record is from RNAcentral.
AUGGUGGGUCCAUUCAAGACCGCUCGAGGCGGCAUGACGCACCUGUUGGUCGCCGUCGACAAGUUCACCAAGUGGGUCGAGGCCAAGCUGAUCAAAAAAACUCGACGACCCCACGACAGUCAUGCUCAUCAAAGACAUCCCUCUCCGCUGUGGCAUCCCCCACAACAUCAUCAUAGAAAAUGGCACCAACUUUGCCAAGGGCUAUCUCGCUUGCUUCUGCGCCGACCAUGGCUGGACCUAGCAUCCGUUGCGCACCCACAAUUGAAUGGCCAGGCGGAAAGGGCAAACGACCGAUCCUAG